AACGGGUGAGUAACACGUGGGCAAUCUGCCCUGCACUCUGGGACAAGCCCUGGAAACGGGGUCUAAUACCGGAUAUGACCGUCUUGGGCAUCCUUGAUGGUGUAAAGCUCCGGCGGUGCAGGAUGAGCCCGCGGCCUAUCAGCUUGUUGGUGAGGUAAUGGCUCACCAAGGCGACGACGGGUAGCCGGCCUGAGAGGGCGACCGGCCACACUGGGACUGAGACACGGCCCAGACUCCUACGGGAGGCAGCAGUGGGGAAUAUUGCACAAUGGGCGAAAGCCUGAUGCAGCGACGCCGCGUGAGGGAUGACGGCCUUCGGGUUGUAAACCUCUUUCAGCAGGGAAGAAGCGAAAGUGACGGUACCUGCAGAAGAAGCGCCGGCUAACUACGUGCCAGCAGCCGCGGUAAUACGUAGGGCGCAAGCGUUGUCCGGAAUUAUUGGGCGUAAAGAGCUCGUAGGCGGCUUGUCACGUCGGGUGUGAAAGCCCGGGGCUUAACCCCGGGUCUGCAUUCGAUACGGGCUAGCUAGAGUGUGGUAGGGGAGAUCGGAAUUCCUGGUGUAGCGGUGAAAUGCGCAGAUAU
This 582-nucleotide ribosomal RNA is filed under the name Streptomyces sp. GP0606. RNAcentral's name for it is "bacterial SSU rRNA". It matches the Rfam family "Bacterial small subunit ribosomal RNA", at positions 101 to 697 of the family's 1533-position model. The record is from RNAcentral. Lineage: Bacteria; Bacillati; Actinomycetota; Actinomycetes; Kitasatosporales; Streptomycetaceae.